RNAcentral lists this ribosomal RNA (546 nucleotides) under uncultured Glomeromycotina. RNAcentral's name for it is "SSU rRNA". It matches the Rfam family "Eukaryotic small subunit ribosomal RNA", at positions 548 to 1098 of the family's 1831-position model. The record is from RNAcentral. Lineage: Eukaryota; Fungi; Glomeromycota.
UUGGAGGGCAAGUCUGGUGCCAGCAGUCGCGGUAAUUCCAGCUCCAAUAGCGUAUAUUAAAGUUGUUGCAGUUAAAAAGCUCGUAGUUGAAUUUCGGGAUUAGUACGUUGGUCGUGCCUUCGGUACGUACUGGUGUUACUGAUUCCUACCUUCUGACGAACCAUCAUGUCAUUAAUUUGGUGUGGCGGGGAAUCAGGACUGUUACUUUGAAAAAAUUAGAGUGUUUAAAGCAGGCUCGCGCUUGAAUACAUUAGCAUGGAAUAAUGAAAUAGGACGUUGACCCUAUUUUGUUGGUUUCUAGGAUUGACGUAAUGAUUAAUAGGGAUAGUUGGGGGCAUUAGUAUUCAAUUGUCAGAGGUGAAAUUCUUGGAUUUAUUGAAGACUAACUACUGCGAAAGCAUUUGCCAAGGAUGUUUUCAUUAAUCAAGAACGAAAGUUAGGGGAUCGAAGACGAUCAGAUACCGUCGUAGUCUUAACCAUAAACUAUGCCGACUAGGGAUCGGAUGAUGUUAUUUUUAAUGUCUCAUUCGGCGCCUUACGGGAAAC